GAAGGCACAUCAUAGAGGGUGAUAGUCCCGUACGGGUAGAAAGUUUAAUUGUAAGAGAGUAGGGCGGAGCACGAGAAAUUCUGUCUGAAGAUAGGUCGACCACGAUCUAAGGCUAAGUACUACUGAUUGACCGAUAGUGAACCAGUACCGUGAGGGAAAGGUGAAAAGCACCCCUAUAAGGGGAGUGAAAGAGAACCUGAAACCGGAUGCCUACAAGCAGUCGGAGGGGCAUUAAGCCCUGACGGCGUACCUUUUGUAUAAUGGGUCAGCGAGUUAGUUUAUGUAGCAAGCAUAAGCCGAUAGGUGGAUGCGUAGCGAAAGCGAGUGUUAAUAGCGCGUUAAGUUACAUGAAUUAGACCCGAAACCGAGUGAUCUAGCCAUGAACAGGUUGAAGGUUGGGUAACACCAACUGGAGGACCGAACCCACUCCCGUUGAAAAGGUAGGGGAUGAAUUGUGGCUAGGGGUGAAAGGCCAAUCAAACUCGGAAAUAGCUGGUUCUCCGCGAAAACUAUUUAGGUAGUGCGGCAAGCGGACACGUUGAGGGGUAGAGCACUGAAAGAGCUAAGGGGGAGCGAUCCUUACUAAACUUUAUCAAACUCCGAAUACUCAUGAGUGAUACUUACCAGACAGACAGUAGGUGCUAAGGUCUAUUGUCGAGAGGGAAAGAGCCCAGACCGUCAAUUAAGGUCCCUAAAUUAUGGCUAAGUGGUAAAGGAAGUGGGAUAUCCAAAACAGUCAGGAGGUUGGCUUAGAAGCAGCCAUCCUUUAAAGAAAGCGUAAUAGCUCACUGAUCUAAAUAAGACGUCCUGCGCCGAAGAUGUAACGGGGCUAAAGCCAUAUACCGAAGUUACGGGAUUGUAUUGCAAUAGAUACAAUCGGUAGCGGAGCGUUCUGUAGGCCUGCGAAGGUGAACCGUAAGGUUUGCUGGAGGUAUCAGAAGUGAGAAUGCUGACAUGAGUAGCGAAAAGAAGAGUGAGAGACACUUCCGCUGAAAGUCCAAGGUUUCCUGCGUAAAGCUAAUCUGCGCAGGGUUAGUCGGCCCCUAAGGCGAGGCAGAGAUGCGUAGCUGAUGGGAACACGGUUAAUAUUCCGUGACCAGUUAGGAAGUGACGGAUACAGUAGUUUGUACAUGCUUAAUGGAUUGUGUGUGCAAGUGAUGUGUCCCGGGAAAUAGCCCUAACGAAGACCGUACCCGAAACCGACACAGGUGGACAGGUAGAGUAUACCAAAGCGCUUGAGAGAACUAUGUUGAAGGAACUAGGCAAAAUGCUUGUGUAACUUCGGGAUAAGCAAGCCCGGUUUUAAGGCAACUUAAGGCCGGGGGCACAUACUAGGGGGUAGCGACUGUUUAACAAAAACACAGGACUCUGCGAAAUUGAAAGAUGAAGUAUAGGGUCUGACGCCUGCCCGGUGCCGGAAGGUUAAGGAGAGAUGUGAGAGCAUUGAACUGAAGCCCCGGUAAACGGCGGCCGUAACUAUAACGGUCCUAAGGUAGCGAAAUUCCUUGUCGGGUAAGUUCCGACCUGCACGAAUGGCGUAACGACUUCCCCGCUGUCUCCAACAUAGACUCAGCGAAAUUGAAUUCUGAGUUAAGAUGCUCAGUACCCGCGGUUAGACGGAAAGACCCCGUGAACCUUUACUAUAGCUUUGCAGUGGUAUUAGGUAAGACAUGUGUAGGAUAGGUGGGAUGCUAUGAAGUUAUGACGCUAGUUGUAAUGGAGCAGACGUUGAAAUACCACCCUUGUGUUAUUUGAUAUCUAACCUGCUUCCGUAAACCGGAAGAGGGACCCUGCAUGGUGGGUAGUUUGACUGGGGCGG
This 1819-nucleotide ribosomal RNA is filed under the name human gut metagenome. RNAcentral describes it as "bacterial LSU rRNA". It matches the Rfam family "Bacterial large subunit ribosomal RNA", at positions 346 to 2282 of the family's 2925-position model. The record is from RNAcentral.